RNAcentral lists this non-coding RNA (24 nucleotides) under Arabidopsis thaliana (thale cress). Lineage: Eukaryota; Viridiplantae; Streptophyta; Magnoliopsida; Brassicales; Brassicaceae. The record is from RNAcentral.
AGGACGGGUUGACGGGACGGGUUU